Non-coding RNA from Morus notabilis, 104 nucleotides. The record is from Rfam. NCBI's taxonomy places the organism in Eukaryota, Viridiplantae, Streptophyta, Magnoliopsida, Rosales, Moraceae.
GUGCUUUUGGGAUGAACAAGUCCCUCAUAUUUAUUCAAUUCCAUCCUUUUCACUUUGUCAGCUGUUUCUUGGUGUCUAGCUGAUCAUUUUGGGAUGGAAAAUUC